GACGAACGCUGGCGGCGCGCUUAACACAUGCAAGCCGAACGGAAAGGCCCUUGCUUGCAGGGGGUACUCGAGUGGCGAACGGGUGAGUAACACGUGGGUGAUCUGCCUUGUACUUCGGGGUAAGCCUGGGAAACUGGGUCUAAUACCGGAUAGGACCAUGCUUUAGUGUGUGUGGUGGAAAGUUUUUUCGGUACUAGAUGAGCCCGCGGCCUAUCAGCUUGUUGGUGGGGCAAUGGCCUACCGAGGCGACGACGGGUAGCCGGCCUGAGAGGGUGUACGGCCACAUUGGGACUGAGACACGGCCCAG
Molecule: ribosomal RNA, 307 nt
Filed under: uncultured bacterium
Lineage: Bacteria
Description: bacterial SSU rRNA
Rfam family: Bacterial small subunit ribosomal RNA
Source: RNAcentral